Molecule: ribosomal RNA, 504 nt
Filed under: uncultured bacterium
Lineage: Bacteria
Description: partial 16S ribosomal RNA
Rfam family: Bacterial small subunit ribosomal RNA
Source: RNAcentral
AUUGAACGCUGGCGGCACGCCUAACACAUGCAAGUCGAGCGGCAGCAUGCUUAGUAGCAGUACUAAGUGAUGGCGAGCGGCGGACGGGUGAGGAACACGUAGGAACCUGCCCAAGAGAGGGGGAUAACUAAGGGAAACUUUAGCUAAUACCGCAUAAUCUCUGAGGAGAAAAGUUGCCCGCAAGGGUAGCGCUUUUGGAGGGGCCUGCGUCCGAUUAGUUAGUUGGUGAGGUAAUGGCUCACCAAGACGAUGAUCGGUAACUGGUCUGAGAGGACGACCAGUCACACUGGGACUGAGACACGGCCCAGACUCCUACGGGAGGCAGCAGUGGGGAAUCUUGGACAAUGGGGGCAACCCUGAUCCAGCGAUGCCGCGUGGGUGAAGAAGGCCUUCGGGUUGUAAAGCCCUUUAGGCUGGGAAGAAGAGUGCGGGGUGAAUAAUCCUGUACUUUGACGGUACCAGCAGAAUAAGCACCGGCAAACUCUGUGCCAGCAGCCGCAGUAA